AGAGUUUGAUCCUGGCUUAGAACGAACGCUGGUGGCGUGUCUUAUACAUGCAAGUCGAGCGAGGCAGCAAUGCCGAGCGGCGAACGGGUGAGUAACGCGUAAGCAAUCUGCCCCAUAUCAGGAAAUACCCGUGCCAACGCGCGGUUAAUGUCCAGGAGAGUGGCCUUCCGCAUGGAAGGUUGACUAGAGAUUUAUCGGUAUGGGAUGAGCUUGCGUCCGAUUAGCUAGUUGGCGGGGCAACGGCCCACCAAGGCGACGAUCGGUAGCCGGCCUGAGAGGGUGAUCGGCCACAUUGGGACUGAGAUACGGCCCAGACUCCCACGGGAGGCAGCAGUAGGGAAUAUUGCACAAUGGGGGAAACCCUGAUGCAGCAACGCCACGUGUGGGAAGAAGCAUUUCGGUGUGUAAACCACUGUCAUGAGGGAAUAAGGCCCGCCUUCGGACGGGAUUGAAUGUACCUUGAGAGGAAGCACCGGCAAACUUCGUGCCAGCCGCGGC
Molecule: ribosomal RNA, 498 nt
Filed under: uncultured bacterium
Lineage: Bacteria
Description: bacterial SSU rRNA
Rfam family: Bacterial small subunit ribosomal RNA
Source: RNAcentral